UAGGGAAUUUUCCGCAAUGGGCGAAAGCCUGACGGAGCAAUGCCGCGUGGAGGUGGAAGGCCUACGGGUCGUCAACUUCUUUUCUCGGAGAAGAAACAAUGACGGUAUCUGAGGAAUAAGCAUCGGCUAACUCUGUGACAG
This 141-nucleotide ribosomal RNA is filed under the name uncultured bacterium. Its description in RNAcentral is "partial 16S rRNA". It matches the Rfam family "Bacterial small subunit ribosomal RNA", at positions 355 to 511 of the family's 1533-position model. The record is from RNAcentral.